GCGCUCGUAGUUUAACGGAUAGAAUGGAGGCCUCCGACGCCUUUGAUACAGGUUCGAUUCCUGUCGGGCGCA
RNAcentral lists this transfer RNA (72 nucleotides) under Lachnospiraceae bacterium. RNAcentral's name for it is "tRNA-Arg". It matches the Rfam family "tRNA". Rfam says of the family: Transfer RNA (tRNA) molecules are approximately 80 nucleotides in length. Lineage: Bacteria; Bacillati; Bacillota; Clostridia; Lachnospirales; Lachnospiraceae. The record is from RNAcentral.